AAUUAAAAUGAGUUCACUGUAAAUAGAGAAGUGUAACGUGUUCUACAAUAAAUUACCACCAAGUAAGUAUUUGUAGAAAAUUAGAAACGAAAAAUACACUCUUAAGGCCAAAGUAGGAAAAAGCUGCAGGAUCUCAAAUACAGUGUUAAGGCCAAAGUAGGAAAAAUACAGUGUCAAGGCCUUUCCAACAAUGCUUGUUUGUAACCUGCAAUUGAUGAAGUUAUAGAACCAAAUGAUCAAUAUGCCAAUUUGGAAAAAAAAAUUCACACACCUUAAAUCAUACUGGCUAACCACAGAUUGUCUUUGUUUUUGGUAUAAAGACCUGUUGGCUAAGCACCUUACAGAAUAUCUUUAAAAAGAAAAUGUUCAGUUACGUUAUUAAGAAAAUUUAAGUCCUACUGAGGUAUUAUGCAAACAUGAAUUCUAUCAAAAUUUUAACCAGCGAUUCAAAAAUUAACUUGUAUUUAUCUUUAAAAUACUUUAUUAGCAUCAUAAAAUGAAAGAUACCCGUUCCUCUUAAAAGAAAAAAAGUCCCAGUACGAUUAUGUUUUAGCCAUAACCAUAAGAACACAAUAGAGCUUCUGAGAACGUGCACCUUAUAUUUGACAGAUGGUGACGGUAUCAUAUCCAUAUGCAUCAAAAAAAUCAGAGGCAACAUAAAGAUGGAGAGUUGUUGACAUAUUCGACAUUUUUCUGAUCCAUUUCUCUGCAACCAUUUUGCAUAAAAUCACAUUGUACCUGUAAAUGAAAUAUAAUUCAGAGCUGGGGUCAUAUGAAAGAGAAAACUCAAAUUCAUUUU
This 799-nucleotide long non-coding RNA is filed under the name Nicotiana tabacum (common tobacco). RNAcentral describes it as "long non-coding RNA (NTAB_LNC006052)". Lineage: Eukaryota; Viridiplantae; Streptophyta; Magnoliopsida; Solanales; Solanaceae. The record is from RNAcentral.